This 301-nucleotide ribosomal RNA is filed under the name uncultured bacterium. RNAcentral's name for it is "partial 16S ribosomal RNA". It matches the Rfam family "Bacterial small subunit ribosomal RNA", at positions 509 to 808 of the family's 1533-position model. The record is from RNAcentral.
CAGUCGCCGCGGGGAAUACGUAGGGUGCAAGCGUUAAUCGGAAUUACUGGGCGUAAAGCGUGCGUAGGUGGUGGUUUAAGUCCGUUGUGAAAGCCCUGGGCUCAACCUGGGAAUUGCAGUGGAUACUGGGUCACUAGAGUGUGGUAGAGGAUAGUGGAAUUUCCGGUGUAGCAGUGAAAUGCGUAGAGAUCGGAAGGAACAUCUGUGGCGAAGGCGACUAUCUGGGCCAACACUGACACUGAGGCACGAAAGCGUGGGGAGCAAACAGGAUUAGAUACCCCAGUAGUCCCUGUCUCUUAUA